RNAcentral lists this ribosomal RNA (414 nucleotides) under Triticum aestivum (bread wheat). RNAcentral's name for it is "partial small subunit ribosomal RNA". Lineage: Eukaryota; Viridiplantae; Streptophyta; Magnoliopsida; Poales; Poaceae. The record is from RNAcentral.
GUGGUGGUCCUGCAUGAAACGCUCCAUGAAAUCCAUACGAAAAAACUAGAUGGGGUGGUUUUUAAAGUGGAUUUCGAAAAAGCGUACGACAAAGUCAAAUGGCCAUUCCUUCAACAAGCGUUGAGGAUGAAAGAUUUUGAUCAAGCCUGGCGAAGACAGGUAGAAUCUUUCACGCAAAAAGGCAAUGUUGGAAUUAAAGUGAAUGAUGACAUAGGUCGCUAUUUCCAAACACAUAAGGGCCUAAGACAAGGAGAUCCAAUGUCACCUAUUGUGUUCAACAUUGUAGUUGAUAUGUUGACAAUUCUAAUAGGAAGGGCUAAGGAUGCUAGACAGGUAGGUAGCUUGGUACCUCAUCUAGUUGAUGGAGGUGUAUCUGUCCUACAGUACGCUGAUGAUACUAUCAUCUUUGUGGAG